RNAcentral lists this ribosomal RNA (2869 nucleotides) under Xanthomonas cassavae CFBP 4642. RNAcentral describes it as "bacterial LSU rRNA". It matches the Rfam family "Bacterial large subunit ribosomal RNA". The record is from RNAcentral. Lineage: Bacteria; Pseudomonadati; Pseudomonadota; Gammaproteobacteria; Lysobacterales; Lysobacteraceae.
AUAAGCGCACACGGUGGAUGCCUAGGCGGUCAGAGGCGAUGAAGGACGUGGUAGCCUGCGAAAAGUGUCGGGGAGCUGGCAACAAGCUUUGAUCCGGCAAUGUCCGAAUGGGGAAACCCACUGCUUCGGCAGUAUCCUGCAGUGAAUUCAUAGCUGCUGGAAGCGAACCCGGUGAACUGAAAUAUCUAAGUAACCGGAGGAAAAGAAAUCAACCGAGAUUCCCUAAGUAGUGACGAGCGAACGGGGAACAGCCCUUAAGCUGGAAUGGCUUUAGAAAAACAAUCUGGAAAGAUUGGCCAUAGAAGGUGAUAGCCCUGUAUUUAAAAGGGCCACUCCAGUGAAGACGAGUAGGGCGGGGCACGUGAAACCCUGUCUGAAUAUGGGGGGACCAUCCUCCAAGGCUAAAUACUCCUGACCGACCGAUAGUGAACCAGUACCGUGAGGGAAAGGCGAAAAGAACCCCGGAGAGGGGAGUGAAAUAGAUCCUGAAACCGUGUGCGUACAAGCAGUAGGAGCUCGCAAGAGUGACUGCGUACCUUUUGUAUAAUGGGUCAGCGACUUACUGUUCGUGGCAAGCUUAACCGUAUAGGGGAGGCGAAGGGAAACCGAGUCUGAUAAGGGCGCAUAGUCGCGGGCAGUAGACCCGAAACCGGGUGAUCUAGUCAUGGCCAGGGUGAAGGUGCCGUAACAGGUACUGGAGGCCCGAACCCACGUCUGUUGCAAAAGACGGGGAUGAGCUGUGAUUAGGAGUGAAAAGCUAAUCGAACCCGGAGAUAGCUGGUUCUCCUCGAAAGCUAUUUAGGUAGCGCCUCGGACGAAUACUACUGGGGGUAGAGCACUGUUAUGGCUAGGGGGUCAUCGCGACUUACCAAACCAUUGCAAACUCCGAAUACCAGUACGUACUAUCCGGGAGACACACGGCGGGUGCUAACGUCCGUCGUGAAAAGGGAAACAACCCAGACCCACAGCUAAGGUCCCAAAUUCACUGCUAAGUGGAAAACGAUGUGGAAAGGCAUAGACAGCCAGGAGGUUGGCUUAGAAGCAGCCACCCUUUAAAGAAAGCGUAAUAGCUCACUGGUCGAGUCGGUCUGCGCGGAAGAUUUAACGGGGCUAAGCAGUGAACCGAAGCUUGGGGUGCAUAAAACUUGUUUUAUGCGCGGUAGAGGAGCGUUCCGUAAGCCUGCGAAGGUGGAUUGAGAAGUCUGCUGGAGGUAUCGGAAGUGCGAAUGCUGACAUGAGUAACGAUAAUGCGGGUGAAAAGCCCGCACGCCGAAAGCCCAAGGUUUCCUUGCGCAACGUUAAUCGACGCAGGGUUAGUCGGUCCCUAAGGCGAGGGCGAAAGCCGUAGUCGAUGGGAAGCAGGUUAAUAUUCCUGCACCUCGCGUGAGUGCGAUGGAGGGACGGAGAAGGUUAGGUGUACCGGGCGUUGGUUGUCCCGGGGAAAGGCGGUAGGUUUGGAUCUUUGGCAAAUCCGGGAUCCUUUAAGACCGAGCACCGAGACGAGCCUUUAUGGCGAAGUCACUGAUACCACGCUUCCAGGAAAAGCUCCUAAGCUUCAGCUCACGAAGACCGUACCGUAAACCGACACAGGUGGGUAGGAUGAGAAUUCUCAGGCGCUUGAGAGAACUCGGGUGAAGGAACUAGGCAACAUGGCACCGUAACUUCGGGAGAAGGUGCACCCUUUUUGGUGGCUCAUGCGAGCUAUAGCUGAAGAGGGUCGCAGAAACCAGGCCGCUGCGACUGUUUAUCAAAAACACAGCACUCUGCAAACACGAAAGUGGACGUAUAGGGUGUGACGCCUGCCCGGUGCUGGAAGGUUAAUUGAUGGGGUCAGCCGCAAGGCGAAGCUCUUGAUCGAAGCCCCAGUAAACGGCGGCCGUAACUAUAACGGUCCUAAGGUAGCGAAAUUCCUUGUCGGGUAAGUUCCGACCUGCACGAAUGGCGUAACGACAGCGGCGCUGUCUCCACCCGAGACUCAGUGAAAUUGAAAUCGCUGUGAAGAUGCAGCGUUCCCGUGGCAAGACGGAAAGACCCCGUGAACCUUUACUAUAGCUUUACACUGAACGUUGAGUUCGUCUGUGUAGGAUAGGUGGGAGGCUAUGAAACUGUGGCGCUAGCUGCAGGGGAGCCAUCCUUGAAAUACCACCCUGUCGUGCUUGACGUUCUAACCUAGAUCCGUUAUCCGGAUCAGGGACCGUGUAUGGUGGGUAGUUUGACUGGGGCGGUCUCCUCCUAAAGAGUAACGGAGGAGCACGAAGGUACGCUCAGCGCGGUCGGACAUCGCGCACUGUGUGCAAAGGCAUAAGCGUGCUUGACUGCAAGAUCGACGGAUCAAGCAGGUACGAAAGUAGGUCUUAGUGAUCCGGUGGUUCUGUAUGGAAGGGCCAUCGCUCAACGGAUAAAAGGUACUCCGGGGAUAACAGGCUGAUACCGCCCAAGAGUUCAUAUCGACGGCGGUGUUUGGCACCUCGAUGUCGGCUCAUCACAUCCUGGGGCUGUAGUCGGUCCCAAGGGUAUGGCUGUUCGCCAUUUAAAGUGGUACGCGAGCUGGGUUCAGAACGUCGUGAGACAGUUCGGUCCCUAUCUGCCAUGGGCGUUGGAAGUUUGAGAGGGGCUGCUCCUAGUACGAGAGGACCGGAGUGGACGAACCUCUGGUGUUCCGGUUGUCACGCCAGUGGCAUUGCCGGGUAGCUAUGUUCGGAAGCGAUAACCGCUGAAAGCAUCUAAGCGGGAAGCGCGCCUCAAGAUGAGACUUCCCGGGGCACAAGCCCCCUAAAGGAACCAUGUAGACUACGUGGUUGAUAGGUCAGGUGUGUAAGUACAGCAAUGUAUUGAGCUAACUGAUACUAAUGAUCCGUGCGGCUUGACC